Molecule: ribosomal RNA, 397 nt
Filed under: uncultured bacterium
Lineage: Bacteria
Description: partial 16S ribosomal RNA
Rfam family: Bacterial small subunit ribosomal RNA
Source: RNAcentral
AUACGUAGGGGGCGAGCGUUGUCCGGAAUGAUUGGGCGUAAAGGGCGCGUAGGCGGCCCGGUAAGUCUGGAGUGAAAGUCCUGUUUUUAAGAUGGGAAUUGCUUUGGAUACUGUCGGGCUUGAGUGCAGGAGAGGUAAGUGGAAUUCCCAGUGUAGCGGUGAAACGCGUAGAGAUUGGGAGGAACACCAGUGGCGAAGGCGACUUACUGGACUGUAACUGACGCUGAGGCGCGAAAGUGUGGGGAGCAAACAGGAUUAGAUACCCUGGUAGUCCACACUGUAAACGAUGAAUGCUAGGUGUAGGGGGUAUCGACCCCUUCUGUGCCGCAGUCAACACAAUAAGCAUUCCGCCUGGGGAGUACGGCCGCAAGGUUGAAACUCAAAUGAAUUGACGGGG